Molecule: ribosomal RNA, 565 nt
Filed under: uncultured bacterium
Lineage: Bacteria
Description: partial 16S ribosomal RNA
Rfam family: Bacterial small subunit ribosomal RNA
Source: RNAcentral
UGGGGAAUUUUGGACAAUGGGCGAAAGCCUGAUCCAGCAAUGCCGCGUGUGAAGAAGGCCUUCGGGUUGUAAAGCACUUUUGUCCGGAAAGAAAUCCUUGGCUCUAAUACAGUCGGGGGAUGACGGUACCGGAAGAAUAAGCACCGGCUAACUACGUGCCAGCAGCCGCGGUAAUACGUAGGGUGCAAGCGUUAAUCGGAAUUACUGGGCGUAAAGCGUGCGCAGGCGGUUUGCUAAGACCGAUGUGAAAUCCCCGGGCUCAACCUGGGAACUGCAUUGGUGACUGGCAGGCUAGAGUAUGGCAGAGGGGGGUAGAAUUCCACGUGUAGCAGUGAAAUGCGUAGAGAUGUGGAGGAAUACCGAUGGCGAAGGCAGCCCCCUGGGCCAAUACUGACGCUCAUGCACGAAAAGCGUGGGGAGCAAACAGGAUUAGAUACCCCUGGUAGUCCACGCCCUAAACGAUGUCAACUAGUUGUUGGGGAUUCAUUUCCUUAGUAACGUAGCUAACGCGUGAAGUUGACCGCCUGGGGAGUACGUCGCAAGAUUAAAACUCAAAUGAAUUGNC